RNAcentral lists this ribosomal RNA (464 nucleotides) under Vreelandella stevensii. Its description in RNAcentral is "partial 16S ribosomal RNA". It matches the Rfam family "Bacterial small subunit ribosomal RNA", at positions 338 to 794 of the family's 1533-position model. The record is from RNAcentral. Lineage: Bacteria; Pseudomonadati; Pseudomonadota; Gammaproteobacteria; Oceanospirillales; Halomonadaceae.
CCUACGGGAGGCUGCAGUGGGGAAUAUUGGACAAUGGGCGAAAGCCUGAUCCAGCCAUGCCGCGUGUGUGAAGAAGGCCUUCGGGUUGUAAAGCACUUUCAGUGGGGAAGAAAGCCUUGGGGCUAAUACCCUCGAGGAAGGACAUCACCCACAGAAGAAGCACCGGCUAACUCCGUGCCAGCAGCCGCGGUAAUACGGAGGGUGCGAGCGUUAAUCGGAAUUACUGGGCGUAAAGCGCGCGUAGGCGGUCUGAUAAGCCGGUUGUGAAAGCCCCGGGCUCAACCUGGGAACGGCAUCCGGAACUGUCAGGCUAGAGUGCAGGAGAGGAAGGUAGAAUUCCCGGUGUAGCGGUGAAAUGCGUAGAGAUCGGGAGGAAUACCAGUGGCGAAGGCGGCCUUCUGGACUGACACUGACGCUGAGGUGCGAAAGCGUGGGUAGCAAACAGGAUUAGAUACCCUAGUAGU